Molecule: small nuclear RNA, 20 nt
Filed under: Arabidopsis thaliana (thale cress)
Lineage: Eukaryota; Viridiplantae; Streptophyta; Magnoliopsida; Brassicales; Brassicaceae
Description: snRNA_01930
Source: RNAcentral
AAUAAGCGGAGGAAAAGAAA